RNAcentral lists this long non-coding RNA (289 nucleotides) under Panicum hallii. Its description in RNAcentral is "long non-coding RNA (PHAL_LNC000368)". The record is from RNAcentral. Lineage: Eukaryota; Viridiplantae; Streptophyta; Magnoliopsida; Poales; Poaceae.
GCAGGGUCACCAUUUCGCCGGUCUUGCUUGCUCAUGGUGGGAAAAGAGACUACAUGUCUCCGGUUGCGAACGAGCUAUGGUCUAGGGGUGUAGGGGUUAGGCAGAGGCACUAUCAAGUUAGGCCUCGUGUGCUGUAUGUAUGUACAAAGGGAUUAUUCUCUUUGUGUAGCUAAUAACGGCACGUUUUGCUACUGUAACCACCGCUACUUUAGUACCAAACUACGCAAAUUAAGAUGUUCCCUUCUCCAUCCUCUUCUCUCCAUGGGCAAUAUCUCCUCUUAUACGUGAU